Long non-coding RNA from Suricata suricatta (meerkat), 690 nucleotides. RefSeq lists it as uncharacterized. Lineage: Eukaryota; Metazoa; Chordata; Mammalia; Carnivora; Herpestidae. The transcript is spliced from 4 exons. The record is from RefSeq and is a predicted model, not a curated record.
AUUGAACUGAGAACUUAGACAGCCCAGGGAUCCCAGCUUUGGUUGAUUAGACCAGUCUGGCUGCCAACAGAGCUUCCCAACAAGCAGGCUGUGGCACAAGAUGCCACCAGCAAGACCGACCACUGGACUCCCUCAAGCCUGUGUAAUUCCAAUGAGCUUUGAUCGCCUGCUCCUGUGUGCUCCCCACCUGGAUUUGAAUCUAUACUGAGUCAUCAGCUGGAGUCCAAGUUGCCACCUCAUGAGGACAGCUAGGCCAAAGGAGGAAGAAGGAAUGGAGUUUGUCAGCCAAGUACGCACCCCAACGUCUCCACAUCCUGGCUAUCACUGAAGGUUGUUCAGGACUCUCCUUGGUGUAGAACUCCGGACUUCACCUCACUUCUUCCCACUCUCUCCACCAAGACCAUGAUGCUUCCUACUUCCUUCAGCCAACCUUAGGCCCGGAUUUCUCAUCCUUUGCAGAAAGAACCUUGCAGAAGUGUUAAGAGGAAAAGAUUCAAUCAUCAAUAAGAGAAAUUGCCUUUUUGAUGUUCUUGGAUCAGGGUCUGCUCUCCACCGUGAUGGUUGCAUAGAUAUCACAAUGAUGUCUUCUUUAAUCCUUCCCAGAGGCAGCAAAUAAGGACCUGAGAAUGAUGUAGGGAAGCCAACUUUCACAUUGCCUGGGGCUUCUCUCAUUAAAAAGUGAAUGUGUCA